RNAcentral lists this ribosomal RNA (1352 nucleotides) under Clostridioides difficile. RNAcentral describes it as "partial 23S ribosomal RNA". It matches the Rfam family "Bacterial large subunit ribosomal RNA", at positions 398 to 1758 of the family's 2925-position model. Lineage: Bacteria; Bacillati; Bacillota; Clostridia; Peptostreptococcales; Peptostreptococcaceae. The record is from RNAcentral.
AGAUAUGAUCCAGAGUACCACGGGACACGUGAAACCCUGUGGGAAGCAGGAGGGACCACCCUCCAAGGCUAAAUACUACCUAGUGACCGAUAGCGUAUAGUACCGUGAGGGAAAGGUGAAAAGAACCCCGGGAGGGGAGUGAAAUAGAACCUGAAACCCUGCACUUACAAGCUGUGGAAGCACAUUUCUUGUGUGACCGCGUACUUUUUGUAGAACGGGCCAACGAGUUACGUUAAGUAGCAAGGUUAAGCACUUAAGGUGCGGAGCCGUAGCGAAAGCGAGUUUUAACUGAGCGUUCAGUUACUUGACGUAGACCCGAAACCGGGCGACCUACCCAUGAGCAGGAUGAAGCGAAAGUAAAAUUUCGUGGAGGUCCGAACCCACGAGCGUUGAAAAGCUCGGGGAUGACUUGUGGGUAGCGGUGAAAUUCCAAUCGAGCCCGGAGAUAGCUGGUUCUCCCCGAAAUAGCUUUAGGGCUAGCCUCAAGGUGAGAGAUACGGAGGUAGAGCACUGAAUGUCCUAGGGGGUAUUGCACCUACCGAAGACUAUCAAACUCCGAAUGCCGUCAUCUUAUACUUGGGAGUCAGACUGUGGGUGAUAAGAUUCAUAGUCGAAAGGGCAACAGCCCAGAUCGUCAGCUAAGGUCCCUAAAUGUAAGUUAAGUGGUAAAGGAUGUGGGAUUGCACAGACAACCAGGAUGUUGGCUUAGAAGCAGCCACUCAUUCAAAGAGUGCGUAAUAGCUCACUGGUCGAGUGAUCCUGCGCCGAAGAUUUCCGGGGCUAAAACUUACUACCGAAGCUACGGCAUCAGUAAUGAUGGGUAGGGGAGCUUCCCAUACGGGUUGAAGCAUGACCGUAAGGACAUGUGGACAGUAUGGGAGUGAGAAUGUUGGCAUGAGUAGCGAGAUGUGGGUGAGAAUCCCACAGGCCGUAAACCCAAGGUUUCCAGGGGAAGGUUCGUCCGCCCUGGGUUAGUCGGGACCUAAGCUGAGGCCGAAAGGCGUAGGUGAUGGACAACAGGUUGAUAUUCCUGUACUACCGAUAACCGUUUGAGAGAAGGGAUGACACAGUAGGAUAAGCUAAGCACACUGUUGGUUAUGUGUGCCCAAGCAUUGAGGCAGUCAAAGUAGGCAAAUCCGCUUUGAUAAUGCUGGGAUGUGAUGGGGAGCGAAAUUUAGUAGCGAAGUAGCUGAUUUCACACUGUCAAGAAAAGUCUCUAUCGAGGUUAAAGGUACCCGUACCGCAAACCGACACAGGUGGGUGAGGAGAGUAUCCUAAGGCCAGCGAGAGAACUGUUGUUAAGGAACUCGGCAAAAUGACCCCGUAACUUAGGGAUAAGGGGUGCCACCAUC